GGAUGUGAGGUGAUCUGGUUUUAACAUCUGCCACCCAUUGAUCACCAGGGCUGAUUUAACUUAUCUGGUUGGUUGGCUCAAUGGAUAGCCAAUUCCUUCCUCACAGCUCCAUGUGUGUUCCCCCUGAAGCUGCGUAUUUAUUGGAAAUGGCCACCUUUCCUGAUUAAGGACUGUCCUUCAGUCAAGAGUGUAUGAGUAGCCUGUGCCCUGUUACUAGAACCUCCAAAAUGUUCUGAAGGUCAUUUGUAGAAGGGUUGCCCAGGGAAACGAAUCCAGUGACACUUACAUGUAUAUAGAGAGGGGUUUUAUAU
Molecule: small nuclear RNA, 311 nt
Filed under: Echinops telfairi (small Madagascar hedgehog)
Lineage: Eukaryota; Metazoa; Chordata; Mammalia; Afrosoricida; Tenrecidae
Description: 7SK RNA (ENSETEG00000026793.1)
Rfam family: 7SK RNA
About the family: 7SK was discovered as an abundant small nuclear RNA in the mid-70s but a possible function has only recently been suggested. Two independent studies have found that 7SK RNA binds the CDK9/cyclin T complex (known as elongation factor P-TEFb).
Source: RNAcentral